GCAGCCGCGGUAACACCGGCAGCUCUAGUGGUAGCUGUUUUUAUUGGGCCUAAAGCGUUCGUAGCCGGUUUGAUAAGUCACUGGUGAAAUCCUGUAGCUUAACUGUGGGAAUUGCUGGUGAUACUGUUGAACUUGAGGUCGGGAGAGGUUAGCGGUACUCCCAGGGUAGAGGUGAAAUUCUGUAAUCCUGGGAGGACCACCUGUGGCGAAGGCGGCUAACUGGAACGAACCUGACGGUGAGGGACGAAAGCUAGGGGCGCGAACCGGAUUAGAUACCCC
RNAcentral lists this ribosomal RNA (279 nucleotides) under uncultured Methanobrevibacter sp. RNAcentral's name for it is "partial 16S ribosomal RNA". It matches the Rfam family "Archaeal small subunit ribosomal RNA", at positions 461 to 739 of the family's 1478-position model. The record is from RNAcentral. Lineage: Archaea; Methanobacteriati; Methanobacteriota; Methanobacteria; Methanobacteriales; Methanobacteriaceae.